RNAcentral lists this ribosomal RNA (497 nucleotides) under uncultured bacterium. Its description in RNAcentral is "partial 16S ribosomal RNA". It matches the Rfam family "Bacterial small subunit ribosomal RNA", at positions 28 to 507 of the family's 1533-position model. The record is from RNAcentral.
GACGAACGCUGGCGGCGUGCCUAAUACAUGCAAGUAGAACGCUGAAGAGAGGAGCUUGCUCUUCUUGGAUGAGUUGCGAACGGGUGAGUAACGCGUAGGUAACCUGCCUGGUAGCGGGGGAUAACUAUUGGAAACGAUAGCUAAUACCGCAUGAAAUUGCUUAUCGCAUGAUAAUUGAUUGAAAGAUGCAAUUGCAUCACUACCAGAUGGACCUGCGUUGUAUUAGCUAGUUGGUGAGGUAACGGCUCACCAAGGCGACGAUACAUAGCCGACCUGAGAGGGUGAUCGGCCACACUGGGACUGAGACACGGCCCAGACUCCUACGGGAGGCAGCAGUAGGGAAUCUUCGGCAAUGGGGGGAACCCUGACCGAGCAACGCCGCGUGAGUGAAGAAGGUUUUCGGAUCGUAAAGCUCUGUUGUAAGAGAAGAACGGGUGUGAGAGUGGAAAGUUCACACUGUGACGGUAUCUUACCAGAAAGGGACGGCUAACUACGUG